Molecule: ribosomal RNA, 253 nt
Filed under: uncultured bacterium
Lineage: Bacteria
Description: partial 16S ribosomal RNA
Rfam family: Bacterial small subunit ribosomal RNA
Source: RNAcentral
UACGUAGGUGGCAAGCGUUAUCCGGAUUUAUUGGGCGUAAAGGGAACGCAGGCGGUCUUUUAAGUCUGAUGUGAAAGCCUUCGGCUUAACCGGAGUAGUGCAUUGGAAACUGGGAGAGUUGAGUGCAGAAGAGGAGAGUGGAACUCCAUGUGUAGCGGUGAAAUGCGUAGAUAUAUGGAAGAACACCAGUGGCGAAAGCGGCUCUCUGGUCUGUAACUGACGCUGAGGUUCGAAAGCGUGGGUAGCAAACAGG